Molecule: long non-coding RNA, 609 nt
Organism: Myxocyprinus asiaticus (Chinese sucker)
Lineage: Eukaryota; Metazoa; Chordata; Actinopteri; Cypriniformes; Catostomidae
Exons: 3
Source: RefSeq, a predicted model, not a curated record
CCUUUUAGCAGUUGCAAUGUGCAUGCUAAGAAUGUAACUUUAAAAUAAGGACUAUUUUUUACAUGACCUAACCUUUUGUUUUGCCACAGAAUUAAAAAAAAAAUAAUAAUAAUAAUAAUAAUGAAAGUAGAACUACACUUUUCAAGAAACAUGAAUCAACUAUUUGCUUCUUUGUUUAUAUCUCAAGCAGCUGUGGAUCUCAAUCAGUACAUCUCUCUGACAACACUUCUAACCAAACGAAGAGCCAAACACUAAUGUUGAUGAUGGUUAUGACGUACAUUGUUGAACCAUUAGUGGAAUACCUACUCAAGGCGAGAAAAUCUUGAGGUUCAGGCAGGGAGACGGGCUGAAAACAAGAGAAAUUGGUUUGGGCCCCCGGGAGCUGAAUCGAUCAGGUUUUCUCAAGUCUCCCUGAAAUGGGCCCAAGGAGGUUCGCAGCUGUGACAAAAAUCAAAAUCCAUUUUCUGUGGCCAAAUGUAAUGAGGACCAAAUGGUGGAUGUUCCAUUCAUCUCUCCAGCCUGUCUGAGCACUCUUAGGCCACAGGCAGCAAGGCUUGUGAAGGCAGGUGUGAAAGCUUGGGGGACAACGUCUUAUGAACAACCCCAUGA